This 468-nucleotide ribosomal RNA is filed under the name uncultured bacterium. Its description in RNAcentral is "partial 16S ribosomal RNA". It matches the Rfam family "Bacterial small subunit ribosomal RNA", at positions 28 to 507 of the family's 1533-position model. The record is from RNAcentral.
GACGAACGCUGGCGGCGUGCUUAACACAUGCAAGUCGAACGGAAAGGCCCUGCUUUUGUGGGGUGCUCGAGUGGCGAACGGGUGAGUAACACGUGAGUAACCUGCCCUUGACUUUGGGAUAACUUCAGGAAACUGGGGCUAAUACCGGAUAGGAGCUCCUGCUGCAUGGUGGGGGUUGGAAAGUUUCGGCGGUUGGGGAUGGACUCGCGGCUUAUCAGCUUGUUGGUGGGGUAGUGGCUUACCAAGGCUUUGACGGGUAGCCGGCCUGAGCGGGUGACCGGCCACAUUGGGACUGAGAUACGGCCCAGACUCCUACGGGAGGCAGCAGUGGGGAAUAUUGCACAAUGGGCGGAAGCCUGAUGCAGCAACGCCGCGUGCGGGAUGACGGCCUUCGGGUUGUAAACCGCUUUCGCCUGUGACGAAGCGUAAGUGACGGUAAUGGGUAAAGAAGCACCGGCUAACUACGUG